Non-coding RNA from Podarcis lilfordi (Lilford's wall lizard), 77 nucleotides. NCBI's taxonomy places the organism in Eukaryota, Metazoa, Chordata, Lepidosauria, Squamata, Lacertidae. The record is from the annotation of a GenBank genome assembly.
GCCUGGAAUCUUGAUCCAGUUGGUAGAACAUGAGAUGCUUAAUUUCAGGGUCAUGGGUUCAAGCCCUUCGUUGGGCA